UCAGGACGAACGCUGGCGGCGUGCCUAAUACAUGCAAGUCGAACGGUCUUUCUAUGGAAGCUUGCUUCCACUGAGAGGAUAGUGGCGAACGGGUGAGUAACACGUGGGUAACCUGCCCAUAAGAGGGGGGAUAACAUCCGGAAACGGGUGCUAAUACCGCAUAGUUUUCUUGAUCGCAUGAUCGGGAAAGGAAAGACGGCCUUUGUGCUGUCGCUUAUGGAUGGACCCGCGGCGUAUUAGUUAGUUGGUGAGGUAACGGCUCACCAAGACGAUGAUACGUAGCCGACCUGAGAGGGUGAUCGGCCACAUUGGGACUGAGACACGGCCCAAACUCCUACGGGAGGCAGCAGUAGGGAAUCUUCCGCAAUGGACGAAAGUCUGACGGAGCAACGCCGCGUGAGUGAAGAAAGGUUUUCGGAUCGUAAAACUCUGUUGUCAGAGAAGAACAAGUUGGAGAGUAACUGCUCCAGCCUUGACGGUAUCUGACCAGAAAGCCACGGCUAACUACGUGCCAGCAGCCGC
This 522-nucleotide ribosomal RNA is filed under the name uncultured bacterium. RNAcentral describes it as "bacterial SSU rRNA". It matches the Rfam family "Bacterial small subunit ribosomal RNA", at positions 24 to 518 of the family's 1533-position model. The record is from RNAcentral.